UCUCCUGAGUCUGCCGUGUUUUAGUUUUGUGAUCUUACAACCAUGUUUAAGUCUAAAAAUAAGAGUUAGAAGUAGGACUGGCACAUGUCACUAUAUUUAAUUUAAUGAACUCUAACAGGAUUUUUGUUUCUAAACCCAGGACAUUGAGAUCUGCUGAUUGGAGAUCUUAGUGCCCAAGGAAGAAUGCUUGCAAAAGGAGAUGGAACAGUGUUUCUGUUGCAUUGGCCACUGAGAAUAUCUGGUUAUUUUGAAUUUGUCACAGUCUGCAGCUAAAAGGUGAACAGGAAAAGAAGAGGAAGCGGCACAUGAGACUAGCAGGAGUAAAUGUUUUAUACACUCGGCCUCGCAAAAAUUCUGCAAUCACUGGGAAUCAGUAACCUGGUGAAUGAGAAAACAACGUAAUACUGAAAAAUCAAAACACCAUCCUACAGAACUUUGAUGCAUUCAGAACAAAGCAGGAAUUCACUGAAUGUCUAUCUAUCAUGUAUGCUGUUGGAGGCACCUGUCUUUCAGUUCAGAGGUUAUGGAUGUAUCUAUCAUCAGUAUUUCGGGAAGUCAGGGACCCCGAACAGAUGGACUUAAUGAAGCUGUGGCAGAAGAACAAAUUGUGAAGAUUUCAUGGACAUUUAUUAGUUCCCCAAAUUAAUACUUUUAUAAUUUCUUACACCUGUCUUUACUGCACUCUCUGAACAUAAAUUGUGAAGAUUUCAUGGACAGUUAUCACUUCCCCAGUCAACACGCUUAUAAUUUCCUAUGCCUGUCUUUACUUUAAUCUCUUAAUCCCAUCAUCUUUGUAAGCUGAAGAUGUAUGUCCCUCAGGACCCUGUGAUGAUUGCGCUAUCUGCACAAAUUGUUUGUAAAGCAUAUGUUUUUGAACAGUAUGAAAUCUGGGCAUCUAGAAAAGGAACAGGAUAACAACGAUUUUCAGGGAACAAGGGAAAUAACCAUUAGGUCUGACUGCCGGGGAGCCGGGCAGGACCAAGUCAUAUUUCUCUUAUUGUCAAAAACGGGUAAGAGAAAUAUUGCUGAAUUCUUUCCCCAGUAAGGAAUAUUAAUAAUUAACAACCCUGGGAAAAGAAUGCAUUCCUGGGGGGAGGCCUCUAAAAUGGCCGCUCUGGGAAUGUCUGCCUUAUGCAGUUGUAGAUAGGGAUGAAACAUGCCCUGGUCUCCUGCAGCGCCCCCAGGCUUGCUAGGAUUAGGAAAUCCAGACUGGUGAAUUUUAGACAGACUGGUUGCCUGCUCUCAAACCCUAUCUUCUGAAAAGAUAUUAUCAAUGACAAUGUGUGCCCGGUGGUACAUGAGACUUCCUCAGCAAUUCUAAUUUUGCCCUGAUCAUGUGAUCUCACUCUGCCCCCAUCUGCCUUGUGAUAUUUUAUUGCCCUUGAAGCAUGUGAUCUCUGUGACCCACACCCUAUUCGUACACCCCUCCCCUUUUGAAAUCCAUAAUAAAAUCUUGCUAGUUUUGUGGCUGAAGGGGCAUCACAGAACCUGCCGACAUGUGAUGUCUCCCCCAGACACCUAGCUGUAAAAUUUCUCUCUUUUGUACUCUUUCCCUUUAUUUCUUAGACCAGCUGACACUUAGGGAAAAUAGAAAAGAAACUAUGUUGAAAUAUUGGGGGCUGGUUCCCCCAAUACAUUUCGACCUUGGAGAAUCUGAUGAUUUUGUGCCUGAUGGUUUUCUUUUGUAGUAUCUUGUUGGGGUUCUCUGCAUUUCCUGAUUUGAAUGUUGGCCUCUAGGUUGGGAGAAUUUUCAUGGAUGAUAUCCUUAAACAUGUUUUCCAAGUUGCUUACUUUCUCUCCCUCUCUUU
This 1808-nucleotide long non-coding RNA is filed under the name Pan troglodytes (chimpanzee). RNAcentral describes it as "long non-coding RNA NONPTRT010894". Lineage: Eukaryota; Metazoa; Chordata; Mammalia; Primates; Hominidae. The record is from RNAcentral.